CCUACGGGUGGCAGCAGUGAGGAAUAUUGGUCAAUGGACGAGAGUCUGAACCAGCCAAGUAGCGUGAAGGAUGAAUGCCCUAUGGGUUGUAAACUUCUUUUAUAUGGGAAUAAAACAGGGUAUGCAUACCCUCUUGUAUGUACCAUAUGAAUAAGGAUCGGCUAACUCCGUGCCAGCAGCCGCGGUAAUACGGAGGAUCCGAGCGUUAACCGGAUUUAUUGGGGUUAAAGGGAGCGUAGGUGGAGUGUUAAGUCAGUUGUGAAAGGUUGGGGCUCAACCUGAAAAUUGCAGUUGAAACUGGCAGUCUUGAGUACAGUAGAGGGGGGCGGAAUUCGUGGUGUAGCGGGGAAAUGCUUAGAUAUCACGAAGAACUCCGAUUGCGAAGGCAGCUCACUGGACUGCAACUGACACUGAUGCUCGAAAGUGUGGGUAUCAAACAGGAUUAGAUACCCCUGUAGUC
Molecule: ribosomal RNA, 460 nt
Filed under: uncultured bacterium
Lineage: Bacteria
Description: partial 16S ribosomal RNA
Rfam family: Bacterial small subunit ribosomal RNA
Source: RNAcentral